GACGAACGCUGGCGGCGUGCUUAACACAUGCAAGUCGAACGAUGAAGAAAAGAAUUGAAGCUUCGGCAGAAAUUCAUUUCGGAUUAGUGGCAGACGGGUGAGUAACGCGUGAGCAACCUACCUCUUACAAAGGGAUAGCCUCGGGAAACCGGGAUUAAUACCAUAUAACAUUGCGACGAAGCAUUUCGAUGUAAUCAAAGCUACGGCGGUAAGAGAUGGGCUCGCGUCCCAUUAACCAGAUGGUGAGGUAACGGCUCACCAUAGUAACGAUGGGUAACCGGCCUGAGAGGGUGAACGGUCACACUGGAACUGAGACACGGUCCAGACUCCUACGGGAGGCAGCAGUGGGGAAUAUUGCACAAUGGAGGGAACUCUGAUGCAGCGACGCCGCGUGAGUGAUGAAGGAAUUCGUUUCGUAAAACUCUGUUCUAUGGGAAGAAAAGGACUGUACCAUAGGAGAAAGCUCCGGCUAAAUACGUG
This 480-nucleotide ribosomal RNA is filed under the name uncultured bacterium. Its description in RNAcentral is "partial 16S ribosomal RNA". It matches the Rfam family "Bacterial small subunit ribosomal RNA", at positions 28 to 507 of the family's 1533-position model. The record is from RNAcentral.